GAAAGAUGUCACCCAGGAUUCUGGUGUGGUGCGUGGGUUCAUCAAUGGUGAGUCCGUCCCUGGCAGCCAUCGUGCUGCAUUCUUUGAUGUCGCCGGGCCGAGAGGACGUAGCUGCUGUCUUGCUGUUGGAUCUUGGACGACCUUGAGCAUGAGGUGUCCAGCAAGCCUGCAUAGAAAUCAAGUACCACGUGAAGGCAGUGACACACGGGAAGAAGCAUUGGAGCUGUACCAAGACAUGCGAUGGUGCUGUAUCAUAUGCUUCUUAUACAAUUCCCUUAGGUUGGGAAUAAUGUCGCCCAGUGCUUAAACGCAGCACACAUGGUUUUGUUGUGGCACCUGAGUUCACUGUCGAUGACUCCGUCCCCGGCUGCUAUCCUGCUGAUCGUCCGUGGAUGCCCUCCAGCAUGAGGUGUCCAGCAUGGCCUACAUCACAUGAUCACAAUCAAGUAAAGCGUUGAGGUUGGAGAAAAUAAAGAAUUCCGUCAGAAGUAUUGGUAGCAAAAUUUUGUGUAUUGAGGCAAGUGUGGAUGUACCCUACACAUGAGUAGAGACCACUUGUCUGCGACAAGAUCCAGCAUUUGCACGUGUUUCCUGUAGUUUGCAGCUGCUUAGAGCUGGUAUGGCCAUUGUGCUGUGAGCUGUACCCUUCAUAUUUCGUUUGUGAUGUAACCGCGUGGUGCGGUGCAAAGCACUCCGUUUCGACAUCAAGUGGCGUGCUUUCUGUGAAACAUCUCUUUGUCUGAUUGCAGAUUUGGAAAUCAUAUAAGUCAAGUAGCUAGCUUUCAUUGGAGGGAAGGGAGGUGAACAUGAGGCAAAACCUCUCUCGAGGUCGCCUUGCUUACCUUCCUCAUCCUUGUGGCGCUUCCGUUCUUCGUUUUUCUUUGGAUUCUUUUCUUUUCUUUUUAGUGAAAUUUUCAUGCAUUUGUAUGCAUGUUUCUUAGGGUGUUGGAUUUGGGUCUUCAUUCUAUUGGCCAUCGUUUCGGCGAAAGUUUGGCCCCUGCCUUGCUCUUCAUGAUGGAAGCGUUUCUAUCCCUUCUCUGUUCUCCAACAUAAGUUAUCUGCAACCUUCUUAUUUGCAGAUUCUGUAGUCAUAGCUCUUCGGCUUCUUGGUUCUUCAUAUUUAUGUGUAGGGCUUUUAAGACCGCAGUAGGUGCAUUAGAUGUUUGUUUAUUUCUUUUAAGAAAAUGAACUUUUGGGUUAUUUUCAGGGAAAUAUAAGUUUCCAAGUUUUUGGAGAGGUUUUUGUGGGCUCUGAUUUCCAAUCUGCUGGAAAAGAAGUAAUUUUUUUUAUGUUCAUUCUAUCUUUUUUGC
Molecule: long non-coding RNA, 1310 nt
Organism: Lolium rigidum
Lineage: Eukaryota; Viridiplantae; Streptophyta; Magnoliopsida; Poales; Poaceae
Exons: 4
Source: RefSeq, a predicted model, not a curated record